RNAcentral lists this unclassified non-coding RNA (1097 nucleotides) under Hevea brasiliensis (rubber tree). Lineage: Eukaryota; Viridiplantae; Streptophyta; Magnoliopsida; Malpighiales; Euphorbiaceae. The record is from RNAcentral.
GUCCUCGAGUUGCCUGAACUUCCUGCUAUCAACCAAGCAAACAUGAAUUUGUCAGUAUCUUCACAUUAGAAUUCUUACAAUUCCACAAUAUCACAAGAAUAUUUGAACAUUUUGAACAGAAAGUAGUUUUGCAUUUCAAAUUGAAUACAAUAUAGAUGUUCUAGCAGAAAAAGGUCUUUUCCCAGCUCACCAAAAAAAAAACAAGUAUUUUUCUAAUUCAAGAGUUAAUAUCAUCAUUAUUUUGGGAUGUUGCACAGAUACCUCUAAAGGCAUUGGACCCCUCAUGCAGACAACAUCCAACAUAGCAGCAGGAAAUUUCACCCUUUGUAUUAAUAUUCAUGAAUUAAAAAAGGUUUAAUGAUAAAAUAAUCCAAAACAUUGAUCAAUUUCUACUAUAACUAACACUUUAAUUUCAGACGUGCUUAGAUGUAGACUCCAAAAAAAAAGAAGAGCAUAAUUUAAAAAUCAGUACUUAUUUAUUUAGAAACAAAAACUUAGGAAAGAAAAAAAAUAGUAAAUCUUUUUCAUCAUGUUCUCCCAUUAUUCUUUCCCUUCCCUUCCCCCAAAUAAGCCUAGAGAUGUGCUUAUGUGAAAUUUUUGAAUUAAAUGAAUGCCACACCAGUAAUUUGAAAAUGUUGGCACAAAGUCUUACAAGUUUGACUAUAACUGAUACCAAAAUUACACGUUAUGCAUAUAAUUGACCAAAUUUAAGCAUUAGCCAUAAUAGAAAAUUGAGUAUAGGAAAAUCUGCUAGUCAUUGGCCACUUACAUAAUCAGCAUUCACCUAAAAUAUGGAUACUUAUUUUUAUAACAUAAACUAUUAUGUUAGGAUCUGAACCCUAAGUGGCAGCUACAAAAGAAACAGACUUGAGAUAGAAAAGAUAAUUAGAAAAUAGACUCGAGAAUAGGAGAGAGAGAGAGAGAUUGAGAAGAAGGAACUGAAUUCUUGACAUUAAUUGAAUGAAUGAUCUCUAUCUGCUGUACAACUGUAUUUAUACCAAUUCUACUAAUCUGUUAUCUUCUAACACGCACUACUAUUCUGUUGUCUUCUAACAUACACUUCCCGCUUAUCUUCCCUCCAAAACCAACUAACUCAA